UUAUGGCACACCAAAAAAUAUAGAAUCAACUGAAGCGCUGAGUUUUUGGCCAGUUUUGACAACUAAUGGGUGGCCGGAAAACCCUGCUUGGACGGCACGAGUAUAAGUGCCAGAAAAUUUGGGCCGGCGUUGGUCAAUGGUUUGUCGUGGGUGCUAGGAAGUUCUCAAUGGCGAUCAUUCCCUCACGAUUCCGGACUACGGCAGAUGUAAGGGUCGUCAGGCAAAGUGGUUCCACGAUGGCAAAAGGAAAAAAUGCCAGCCUUUUAUAAAUUCGGGCUGUGACGGUAAGCACAAUCGUUUCGAAAUAUAUGAAGAAUGCGACGAAUUUUUUAAAUAAUCCAGCUGGGAGAUAAUUUGUGGAGAAAACACACCACUAAUGGUUCUUGCUCUGACUAAUGCUAAUGGGGCAUUCAUGGAAGGCUCUACAAAUGUAAGACGUUUGGGCUUGAGUCUUUCAUUGAGUUUCCGUGGGUUCUAUGAAGAUCUCAAAAUGUUCUGGAUGCGCCUUGCUCUGCUUUGUGUAGCCGCUUCCCUUGUGUACGCCAAAAA
This is a long non-coding RNA of Drosophila persimilis, 549 nucleotides long. RefSeq lists it as uncharacterized. NCBI's taxonomy places the organism in Eukaryota, Metazoa, Arthropoda, Insecta, Diptera, Drosophilidae. The transcript has 4 exons. The record is from RefSeq and is a predicted model, not a curated record.